Molecule: ribosomal RNA, 253 nt
Filed under: uncultured bacterium
Lineage: Bacteria
Description: partial 16S ribosomal RNA
Rfam family: Bacterial small subunit ribosomal RNA
Source: RNAcentral
UACGUAGGGUGCAAGCGUUGUCCGGAAUUAUUGGGCGUAAAGGGCUCGUAGGCGGUCCAUCGCGUCGGGAGUGAAAAGCUGGGGCUUAACCCCAGUCCUGCUUCCGAUACGGGUGGACUAGAGGUAUGCAGGGGAGAACGGAAUUCCUGGUGUAGCGGUGAAAUGCGCAGAUAUCAGGAGGAACACCGAUGGCGAAGGCAGGUCUCUGGGCCACUACUGACGCUGAGAAGCGAAAGCAUGGGGAGCGAACAGG